This 706-nucleotide ribosomal RNA is filed under the name Pseudomonadota bacterium. RNAcentral's name for it is "bacterial SSU rRNA". It matches the Rfam family "Bacterial small subunit ribosomal RNA", at positions 28 to 735 of the family's 1533-position model. Lineage: Bacteria; Pseudomonadati; Pseudomonadota. The record is from RNAcentral.
AUUGAACGCUGGCGGCAUGCCUUACACAUGCAAGUCGAACGGUAGAGUAGCAAUACUCGAGAGUGGCGAACGGGUGAGUAAUAUAUCGGAACGUGCCCAGUCGUGGGGGAUAACGUAGAGAAAUUUACGCUAAUACCGCAUACGAUCUAAGGAUGAAAGCGGGGGAUCGCAAGACCUCGCGCGAUUGGAGCGGCUGAUAUCAGAUUAGGUUGUUGGUGAGGUAAAAGCUCACCAAGCCGACGAUCUGUAGCUGGUUUGAGAGAACGACCAGCCACACUGGGACUGAGACACGGCCCAGACUCCUACGGGAGGCAGCAGUGGGGAAUUUUGGACAAUGGGCGAAAGCCUGAUCCAGCAAUGCCGCGUGUGGGAAGAAGGCCUUCGGGUUGUAAACCACUUUUGUACGGAACGAAACGGUUCGCUUUAAUACAGUGGGCUAAUGACGGUACCGUAAGAAUAAGCACCGGCUAACUACGUGCCAGCAGCCGCGGUAAUACGUAGGGUGCGAGCGUUAAUCGGAAUUACUGGGCGUAAAGCGUGCGCAGGCGGUUAUAUAAGACAGUUGUGAAAUCCCCGGGCUCAACCUGGGAAUUGCAUCUGUGACUGUAUAGCUAGAGUACGGUAGAGGGGGAUGGAAUUCCGCGUGUAGCAGUGAAAUGCGUAGAUAUGCGGAGGAACACCGAUGGCGAAGGCAAUCCCCUGGACC